UGCCGCUGGCAGCUCUGUUAACGUGUCGGGCGAGCGAGCUGUGUCGCAAAAUGUCGUGGCGGAACUUCUCGGCGCUUUUCAGACAAUAAGCUUUACGGAACUAGGCUUUGCCGAGCUGGGAGAUGUCGGCGGCCGGUUGGGCGGAACCCUGGGGUCCUCCCGGCGGCUUUGCGAAGCGGGUCCUGGUGACCGGCGGUGCUGGUUUCAUCGCAUCACAUAUGGUUGUCUCUUUAGUGGAAGAUUAUCCAAAUUACAUGAUCAUAAAUCUAGACAAGCUGGAUUACUGUGCAAGCUUGAAGAAUCUUGAAACCAUUUCUAACAAACAGAACUACAAAUUUAUACAGGGUGACAUAUGUGAUUCUCACUUUGUGAAACUGCUUUUUGAAACAGAGAAAAUAGAUAUAGUACUUCAUUUUGCUGCACAGACACAUGUAGAUCUUUCAUUCGUACGUGCCUUUGAGUUUACCUAUGUUAAUGUUUAUGGCACUCACGUUUUGGUAAGUGCUGCUCAUGAAGCCAGAGUGGAGAAAUUUAUUUAUGUCAGCACAGAUGAAGUAUAUGGUGGCAGUCUUGAUAAGGAAUUUGAUGAAUCUUCACCCAAACAACCUACAAAUCCUUACGCAUCAUCUAAAGCAGCUGCUGAAUGUUUUGUACAGUCUUACUGGGAACGAUAUAAGUUUCCAGUUGUUAUCACAAGAAGCAGUAAUGUUUAUGGACCACAUCAAUAUCCAGAAAAGGUUAUUCCAAAAUUUAUAUCUUUGCUACAGCACAACAGGAAAUGUUGCAUUCAUGGAUCAGGGCUUCAAACAAGAAACUUCCUUUAUGCUACUGAUGUUGUGGAAGCAUUUCUCACUGUCCUCAAAAAAGGGAAACCAGGUGAAAUUUAUAACAUUGGAACCAAUUUUGAAAUGUCGGUUAUCCAGCUUGCCAAAGAACUAAUACAACUGAUCAAAGAGACCAAUUCAGAGUCUGAAAUGGAAAAUUGGGUUGAUUAUGUUAAUGAUAGACCUACCAAUGACAUGAGAUAUCCAAUGAAGUCAGAAAAAAUACUUGGCUUAGGAUGGAGACCUAAAGUGCCUUGGAAAGAAGGAAUAAAGAAAACAAGUUAUAUCUCCACCUUCUGGGGUGAAUGUGAAUUACCAAAGCCAUCAGGGUGCUAGCCACCUUUGCUAAUUCUGCCUGAUCAGCGUGAUAGAUGUGUGCCAUUCUGCAGGACGUUCAGGAGACCCAAGUCUCCGAGAAGAGCAGAACUUACAUAGCCCUAAGGUGAAACUGCAAAUGCAGCCGGUUUCUGAUCGUUUAUGGUUGAGAUGGAAAAGAACACGUUCAGCAGAUCAGUAGCUGGAUAUUGUGUUCCAGGAGCCUUCUCAUCUGCUUCAGCAAAGAAGAUGCCACAUGAGCACAGCAGCUACCAUUGGAGGCUGCUUUUUCUGGCAAUACUGUGGAAGAUGAAUUGAAGGAAGACAAGAUUGAGUUCCUGCAGGGAUUGAAGUUAUGAAGGUGUUGCAGUAAAUCAGGUGGGUGAUGAUAAGGCCUAAGGCACAGCACUGCAAACAGGGAGAGUCUGGGACAGACGUGGGAAUGUUUCAGAUGUAAAAACUUACUGACUGAUGAUACAUUGGAGGUGCUGUUUCUUGACGUGGGUGGUGUUUUAAGGUUUUUAAUGUUGGAUUGGAAAGUGUGGAGGAUAGUGGAUUACAUUUAGGAGAUGUUGAGCUUGGGAGACGUUGAGCUUUAAGGGUCCAUGGGACAUGUUAAGUAGAGAUACCUGGUCAACAGUGAGGUAUGUGUAUCUGAAGCUCAGACUGGUGGUGAGGGCUCAAGAUGUAGAGAUAGGUAUUUGGGAGUUGAAUGGCUAUUAACAUCUGAAAGUGGAUUAAAUCCCCCCAAGCAGAGUAUAUGGAAUGACAGGGUUGAUGGUUGGUGGAAUGAUUUACGGACAAGCCAUGAGAAACACCAAUAUGUAAGUUGCAGGCAAGCAGCCCAAGGAAAUUAAGAAGGAAUGGUUAAAAAAAAUCACUCCCACUGCUUCACUUGACUAGCCUUAAAAAACAAUCCAUCAAUCAAAUUUGAAAUAAGAAAGAAGGAGUAGUCGGCCAGGCGUGGUGGCUCACGCCUGUAAUCCAAGCACUUUGGAGGCCAAGGCGGGCGGAUCACCUGAGAUUGGGAGUUCGAUAAAGAAGGAAUAGUCGGAGGAGAGGAAUAAGGGAAGAAAUAAUGCCACCAAAGCAAAACGAAAAGACGUUCAGUAACCAGCAGACGGCCAGCCAAAGUUCAGUAAGGCAAAACCAAAGUGUCCACUGGUUUUUGGCAACGUGGGGGCAAAUUUUCUAGUGUGAGAAGAGGGAGAGAGCCUCUGGAUAAUACAGAUGGAAUAGUAAUUAGGAAUCAAGGGAUAGAAAAAUGGAAUUUAGCCUUUCAAUGAGCUGAGAAGAGUCAGGAUGGGGCCAUCCCUAAGGAAGGCACAGGCUUAAGGAAAGGUCUUCAGAAGCUGCUGUAUUUUGUUUUUGGCAUGGAAUGGACUUCUGUAUGAUUAUAAGCUGAAGAGAUGAGCAAUAGAUGAAGAAAGAUCAAUGAUAUUCAGGAGUAUGUAAUUAAUGGAGUACAGUGUCCAUGGAAAUGGGCUCCCUAGGGAAGGACUCAUUUGGGGAUGGGGUUGGUCUCAUCUUUCUGGAUCAGUAAUGGCAGGAGUUGAGAUGAGAUUGGAUACAGUGACUUUUUGGGAGGGAUGUGAGGGAAUUCACCAUGGCCUCAAUUUUGCUCCUGAAAGUGGGGGAGGCAACAGGAGAUAAGUGAGUUUUGUAGUCUCAGAGGAGAAUGAGAGCAGCAGCUCUAUCACUGCCCAGUGAAGGUACAGCCACGUUCGAAGGCCAUAAAUUUAUACUCUUACAACUACUGAAAAAAUGCUGCAUUGACCAUCUCAGUGUACACCUGUGUGUACACAGGAGAGUGUAUUUCUGAAGGAUUAAUGCCUAGAUAUGGUAUAUCUGGGUCCAAAAGUACGUGCACUUAACAUUUGAACGAUAUAGAUGAAAUUCCUGCACUCUAGUCAGCCAUGGGUAUUAAAAGACCUUUAAUUUCUGUCAGUGGGAAAGAUGCAAAAAUUGUUUUAUUGCACUUCUAAAAUCUCUAGAAGCUUGAGUCUCUCUUUGACCUCACCUGCAGAUAUUGAAGUUGUGCCCUCCAUAUUACCAUCACACUGUACUCAUACAAUUUACCUGUUUAUAGGUCUGUGUGGUUCACUAGACGUGGAGCUCCUGUGGGUGUAAUCACCACCCUGUUCCCAGACCUAGAUAUUCAGCAUUUUUAUUCAUUUACAGGUUUUUUAAAGAGUAGGGCGUUUGCCACUGUCUGUCUCUCAAUUUCUCUCUCCCUCUCUCUCCUGCAUCCUCCCUCCUCACACACAUAUUUUCUCCUCCCUCCACGCCCCAGGACGAAUCUCUUGCAUUUUUACACCCCAUUUGACUGCAUAAAGCUCACUUUCUCCUUCAGAUCUCACACUGUAAGAAAGAGGUGAACCAGUUUUCCAAGUCUUCUGUCUGAUUGCACUUUUGUUUUGUUAUUGUUUAGAAAGACUGUUAAUUCUCACUUUGGUGCUUCUUUAUAGAAACUUCUAUCCUUGAUGAAUUAUUAUUUGAUCCUUCCUUAGCUUUAAUAGCAUUUUUAAUACUGUCGUGUUUUAUAGCUAAACUCACUAUGCUUUAAUUGCCAUACUCUUAAAAAUAAUGUUACCCAGUGAUAAACAAUUAUAUUUUACCAAUGUAACCUUUCUGUCCCAAAUUUAGGAAGUGGAAGCCCCCUUUUAUUAUCUCUACUUAAGUAAAUUUUGAAGAGCAAAAGAAGCAGUUCUAGUUCAUCUAUUUCCCCUGGCUCCAAACGACAGGCAGAUCUCAUUUUAUUGUGCUUCACAUUAUUGUGCUUUGCAGAUAAUUGUGUUUUUCAUACAUUGAAGAUUGGUGGCAACCGUGAGUCACGCAAGUCUAUGGCACCAUUUUUCCAACAGCAUGUGCUUACUUCAUAUUUCUGUCACACUUUGGCAAUUCUUAUAACAUUUCAAACUUUUUCAUUAUUAUAUCUAUUAUGGUAGUCUGUGAUCAGUGAUCUUGGGUGUUCCUAGAAUAAUUGUUUGGGGUACCACAUAUUAUGCCCGUAUAAUAUGGGCCAACUUAAUUGAUAAAUGUUGUGUUAUGUUCUGCUCUACUAAUGGGCCUUUCUCCCAUCUCUCUCCCCCUUUUUGGGCCUUCCUAUCCCCUGAGACAAUAUUGCAAUUAGUCCAGUUAAUAACACUACAAUGAGCUGGGCACAGUGGCUCACACCUGUAAUCUCAGCACUUUGGGAGGCCAAGGUGGGUGGAUCACCUGAGGUCAGGAGUUCCAGACCAGCCUGGCCAACAUGACAAAACCCCAUCUCUACUAAAAAUAUAAAAAUUAGCCGGGUGUGGUGACAGGCACCUGUAAUCCUAGCUACUCGGGAGGCUGAGGCAGGAUAAUUGCUUGAACCUGGGAGGCAGAGGUUGCAGUGAGCCAAGAUCGUGCCACUGCACUCCAGCCUGGGUGACAAGAGCGAAAACUCCAUCUCAAGAAAAAAAAAUUAGCUGGGUGUGGUGGCACACAUGUAAUUCCAGUUACUUGUGAGACUGAGGCAUGAGAAUUGCUUGAACCCAAGAGGCAGAGGUUACAGUGAGCCAAGAUCGUGCCACUGCACUCCAGCCUGGGUGGCAGCAAGACUCUGUCUCAAACAAACAAACAACAACAACAGCAAAACCCUACGAUGGCUUCUAAGUUUUCAAGUAAAGAGUCACACAUCUCUCACUUUAAAUCAAAACUAGAAUGAUUGAGCUUAGUGUGGAAGGCAUUUUAAAAGUCGACACAGACCAAAAGCUAAGCCUCUUGUACCAGUUAGCCAAGUUGUGAGUGCAAAGGAAAAGUUCUUGCAGGAAAUUAACAGAGAUGCUCUAGUGAACACAUGAAUGAUAGGAAAGUGAAAUAGCCGUAUUGCUAAUGUGAAGAAAGUUUGAGUUUUAUAGAUAGAGGAUCAAACCAUCCACAACAUUUCAUUUUUUUUUUCAGUUGGAGAUGGAGUUUGUUUCUGUUACCCAGGCUGGAGUGCAGUGGCACGAUCUCAGUUCACUGUAUCCUCUGCCUCCUGGGUUCAAGCAAUUCUCUUGUCUCAGCCUUCCAAGUAGUGGGGAUUACAGGCGUCUGGCACCACACUCGACUAAUUUUUGUAGUUUUGGUAGAGGCAGGGUUUUACCAUGUUGGCCAGGCUGAUCUGGAACUCCUGACCUCAAGUGAUCUGCCUGCCUCAGCCUCUCAGGUGCUGGAAUUACAGGUGUGAGCCACUGCUCCGACCCCAUAACAAUUCUUUAAGCCAAAACCUAAUCCAGAGCAAGGCCCAACUCUUCAGUCCUGUGAAAGCUGAGAGAGGUGAGGAAGCUGCAGAAGAAAAGUUGGAAGCUAGCAGAGGUUCAUGAGACUCAAAGAAAGAAACUGUUUCUGUAACAUAUAAGUGCAUGGUGAGCAGCAAGGGCUGAGGGAGAGGUUGCGGCACAUCAUCCAGAAGAUCUAGAUAAGGUCACUGAUGAGGGUCCAGUGAUGAGGGUACACUAAACCACAGAUUUUCAAUGUAGGCAAUAUAACCUUCUAUUAGAAGAUGUCAUCCAGGACUUUCAUAGUUAGAGAAGAGAAGUCAAUGCCUGACUUCAAAGUUUCAGAGGACUCUUUUAAUGGGGGCUAAUGUAGCUGGUGGCUAUAAGUUGAAGCCAAUAUUCAUUGAGCAUUCUGAAAAUCCUGAGGCCCUUAAGAAUUAUGCUAAAUCGGCCAAGUGUGGUGGCUCACGCCUGUAAUCCCAGCACUUUGGGAGGCUGAGGCGGGUGGAUCACGAGAUCAAGAGAUCGCGAUCAUCCUGGCCAACAUGGUGAAACCCCAUCUCUACUAAAAAAUACAAAAAUUAGCUGGGUGUGGUGGGGUGCGCCUGUAGUCCCACCUACUUGGGAGGCUGAGACAGGAGAAUUGCUUGAACCCAGGAGGCAGAAAUUGCAGUGAGCCAAGGUUGUGCCACUGUACUCCAGCCUGGGGCCUGGCGACAGAGCAAGACUCUGUCUCAAAAAAAAAAAAAAAGAAUUAUGCUAAAUCGGCCAGGCAUAGUGGCUCACGGCUGUAACCCCAGCACUUUGAGAGACUGAGGAGGGCAGAUCACCUGAGGACAGGAGUUUGAGACCAGCCUGACCAACAUGGAGAAACCCUGUAUCUACUAAAAAUACAAAAUUAGCUGGGUAUGGUGGCACAUGCCUGUAAUUCCAGCUACUCGGGAGGUGGAGGUUGCAGUGAGCCAAGAUUGCGCCAUUGCACUCCAGCCUGGGCAAGAAGAGCAAAACUAUGUCUAAAAGAAAAAUUAUGCUAAAUCUACACUGCCUGUAGUCUAAAAAUGAUACAACAAAGCCUAGAUGACUUGAAAGAUUUCUUUCAAAAUAUUACUGCUCAUUGACAAGGCACCUAGUUACCCAAGAGGUAUGAUAUAGAUUUACAAGGAUAUGAAUGUUUCAUGCAUGCCAACACAACUUCUAUUCUGUACCUCAUGGAUCAAGGAGUAAUUCUGACUUUCAAGUUUUAUUAUUUAAGAAAUAAGUUGUGUAUAGUUGCCAUAGGUAGUGAUUCCUCUGAUGGAUCUGGACAAAGGGUAGAAUUCACCAUUCCAAAUGCCAUUAAGAACAUAAGAAGGUCAGUCUAUAUUAACAGGAGUUUGAACGAAGUGGAUUCCAACCCUCAUGGAUGACUUUGAGGGGUUCAGCACCUCAGUGGAGGAAGGAAGUAACUGCGUGUGUGGUAGAAAUACCAGGAGAACCAGAUUUAGAAGUGGAGUCUGAUGAUGUGGCUGAAUUGCUGCAGUCUCACGAUCAAACUUCAACAGAGGAGUAGUUGCUUUUUACGGAUGAGCAAAAAAAGUGGCUUCCUGAGAUGGAGCCUACUCCUGGUGAAGAUGCUGUGAGUGAAAUGACAACAAAGGAUACAGACUAUUGCAUAAACUUGGUUGAUAAAACAGCAGCAGGGUUUGAGAGUUUUGACUCUAAUUUUGAAAGACGUUCCGUGGGUAAAUGCAAUCAAACGGCGUGGCUCGCUAUGGAGAAAUCUUUCGCAAAAGGAAAGAGUCAAUGCAGCAGACUUCAUCAUUGUCUUAUUUUACAACUACCACAACCACCUCAGUCUUCAGCAACCGCUGAUAAAUCAGCAGCCAUCAACAUCAAGGCCAGACCUUCUGCUAUGACUCACUAAAGCCUCAGAUGAUUGUUAGCAUUUUUUAGCAAUAAAAUAUUUUAAUUGAGUUACACGUACAUUGAGUUUGUACACAUAAUGCUAUUGCACACUUAAUAGACUACAAUAUCAUGUAAACAUAACAUAUGCACUGGGAAACUAAAAUAUUUCUGUGACUUGCUUUAUUGCAAUAUUCACCUUAUUGCAGUGGUCUGGAACUAUCUCCAAGGUAUCCUUGUUCUGGAAAGCUCUCCAAUUGCGUGUCUAAUAACGGUUCUAUACUUUGCCUAGUCCCUCAUCUAUUGACUUGAAAUGAAAACAUUGCUCUCUUAAUGAAGAUCGUUGUGAGAAUUAACUGUAGGGGUAGGAGAGGAGGGAAAGCAUAUUUUUUAGGUUGUAAGCCUGAAUGAGAAAUUGUACAUAAAAUAAGCCAGAUAAGCUCUUGUAAAACAUAUUUCUAUUUCCAGAAAAAUUUAAAAUGGCUCUGGAGCUCUGCCCUUCACAUUUGUUUAACUGAAUAAACUUAAGUGAAAAUAUAAAGCAAUGUUUCUUUGCUGAGAAGAAAAAUUUCUAAAGGAAAGUGGCCAUUAUAGCUAUUUGGAUAUUAGAUGUCAAAUGAAGACUCUAUAUGUUAAUAUUUAGAAAAUGCACAUUUCUCU
RNA transcript from Callithrix jacchus (white-tufted-ear marmoset), 7909 nucleotides. It is a transcript of the gene named TDP-glucose 4,6-dehydratase, with no coding region annotated. NCBI's taxonomy places the organism in Eukaryota, Metazoa, Chordata, Mammalia, Primates, Cebidae. The record is from RefSeq and is a predicted model, not a curated record.